RNAcentral lists this ribosomal RNA (253 nucleotides) under uncultured bacterium. RNAcentral describes it as "partial 16S ribosomal RNA". It matches the Rfam family "Bacterial small subunit ribosomal RNA", at positions 524 to 776 of the family's 1533-position model. The record is from RNAcentral.
UACGUAGGGGGCAAGCGUUGUCCGGAAUCAUUGGGCGUAAAGCGCACGUAGGCGGAUUUGUAAGUCAGGGGUGAAAUCCCGGGGCUCAACCUCGGAACUGCCUUUGAUACUGCAAAUCUCGAGUCCGGAAGAGGUGAGUGGAAUUCCUAGUGUAGAGGUGAAAUUCGUAGAUAUUAGGAAGAACACCAGUGGCGAAGGCGGCUCACUGGUCCGGUACUGACGCUGAGACGCGAAAGCGUGGGGAGCAAACAGG